Molecule: transfer RNA, 73 nt
Filed under: Stegodyphus mimosarum
Lineage: Eukaryota; Metazoa; Arthropoda; Arachnida; Araneae; Eresidae
Rfam family: tRNA
About the family: Transfer RNA (tRNA) molecules are approximately 80 nucleotides in length. Their secondary structure includes four short double-helical elements and three loops (D, anti-codon, and T loops).
Source: Rfam by way of RNAcentral
GCCUUCAUGGUGUAGCUGUCAGCACGCUCGACUUGUAUUCCAGAGGUUAGUGGUUCGAGUCCCGGCGAAGGCA